GGGAGAGCGUCUCGGAUCAUUGACAACUAAAUAGGAGCAGCAAACGUCCAAUUAAAGGGCCCUGAUCACGAAACACAGUAAUAAAAUGAAUCUGGAGAGUUUGAUCCUGGCUCAGAACGAACGCUGGCGGCGUGCCUAACACAUGCAAGUCCAACGUGAAAGGGGAGCAAUCCCCCGGUAGGGUGGCAAACGGGUGAGUAAUACAUGGGUGAUCUACCUUAGGGAUGGGGAUAUCCUUCCGAAAGGAGGGGCAAUACCGAAUAUUGUCCGGAGCCGUGAAGGGUUCCGGGGAAAGGGAGGCCUCUGAUACAAGCUUUCGCC
Molecule: ribosomal RNA, 321 nt
Filed under: uncultured bacterium
Lineage: Bacteria
Description: partial 16S ribosomal RNA
Rfam family: Bacterial small subunit ribosomal RNA (bases 89-321)
Source: RNAcentral